RNAcentral lists this long non-coding RNA (464 nucleotides) under Triticum aestivum (bread wheat). Its description in RNAcentral is "long non-coding RNA (TAES_LNC003160)". Lineage: Eukaryota; Viridiplantae; Streptophyta; Magnoliopsida; Poales; Poaceae. The record is from RNAcentral.
UCUAAUUUGUGGUUUUCCUGCUUAAUGGCGCUCAACUUGGUUGACGUUCCGGCCUUAGCUUCCCAUCCAUGCGGUCCAGUGGUGCCCGUUCCUCUGCUGUUUUGUUGCGAGGGCGUAGCUAGCUUCGAACGACGAGGCGUACAAGUGGGCCCUACAGGAUGACGACGAGCGCGAGGUCGCCGGGCGGCUCCUGACCCUCACUGAGAUCAUUGGUUGUGAGUGCAAGAGACAGAUCUUUCAAAUUUCAAUCACGUUUUAUCCCACUUCCUAUUCGGGAUUUGCUUAGUGUUACGUUUUUCAGUAGGGGAAGAGAUGAGCAUGAUGUUGAAGAUGACGAAGGCGAGGAAGAUGGGGAUAGCGUGCAGUUGACAGUUCCAUCACAAUCAUUGUUUGUUGAUUUAUGUGUAUGCUUGGGCAAUUAUGCAGCUUUUACAUGAAGAUUAUAACCCUUUUAUUUUAUUCAG